RNAcentral lists this ribosomal RNA (363 nucleotides) under Triticum aestivum (bread wheat). RNAcentral's name for it is "partial small subunit ribosomal RNA". Lineage: Eukaryota; Viridiplantae; Streptophyta; Magnoliopsida; Poales; Poaceae. The record is from RNAcentral.
AUGUCGAGGGAUUACAUGAUCUACAAGCCAAAGACUCUGAAAUACACAAACAUGAUGAUGAUUAUGAUAGAGGUGCCUGACAAUUUACCAAACGCGAAAAAUCACACCCCCGCACGCCACGCACAUCCAAUCGCCGCCGCCACCUUGACCAACGGCCGCCGCAUCGCCGUCCACCGCCACGCAUCUGCCAUCCCCGGCUUCCCCUCCGCGGCUCCCUCAUCCGGCUUCGCCGACUCGUCGCGCAUCUUCGUCCUCCCCUCCGUGGCGUCCUUCGCCGGUCUACCCUCCCCGAUGCGGUCCGCACCUACGGACUCCCCUCCUCCUCCGUCAGCAGCUCCAGUCGCCACCCCCGCAGUGGAAUGA